GGGUUUCUGACAAUGACAUCUCCGAAGAUGCCUAUAUUGGGUUGACGUUGAGUUCUUGAGUGCUAGGGAUGGACAACCCUCACAACUUAGUGGUCGAGUAUCUGGCUCCUCUUUUGAACAUAGUAUAUCCGAUGUUCCCUCCAGCCCAACUAUCUGUGCUUUGAUACUAUCCACCGAUUGUUUUUCAGAUGCAUGUCCGUCCUCCUCCAUUGGAAAGAGGUCUAGGUCAAGCUCCAUG
This 238-nucleotide long non-coding RNA is filed under the name Elaeis guineensis (African oil palm). RNAcentral's name for it is "long non-coding RNA (EGUI_LNC037592)". The record is from RNAcentral. Lineage: Eukaryota; Viridiplantae; Streptophyta; Magnoliopsida; Arecales; Arecaceae.